CAGACCGUAGCUAAACUAGAGAAAGCAUCUCCCUUACACUGAGAAGUUAUUCGUGCAAGUCGAAUCGUUCUGA
RNAcentral lists this transfer RNA (73 nucleotides) under Parambassis ranga (Indian glassy fish). Its description in RNAcentral is "tRNA-Val". It matches the Rfam family "tRNA". From Rfam's summary of the family: Transfer RNA (tRNA) molecules are approximately 80 nucleotides in length. The record is from RNAcentral. RNAcentral also lists the same sequence under 1 other name. Lineage: Eukaryota; Metazoa; Chordata; Actinopteri; Ambassidae.